This 253-nucleotide ribosomal RNA is filed under the name uncultured bacterium. Its description in RNAcentral is "partial 16S ribosomal RNA". It matches the Rfam family "Bacterial small subunit ribosomal RNA", at positions 524 to 776 of the family's 1533-position model. The record is from RNAcentral.
UACGUAGGGGGCUAGCGUUGUCCGGAAUCAUUGGGCGUAAAGCGCGUGUAGGCGGUCCGGUAAGUCCGCUGUGAAAGUCGGGGGCUCAACCCUCGAAUGCCGGUGGAUACUGUCGGGCUAGAGUGCGGAAGAGGCGAGUGGAAUUCCUGGUGUAGCGGUGAAAUGCUUAGAUAUGCCAUAGAACACCAAUUGCGAAGGCAGCCUGCCAGAGCCGUAUUGACGCUGAGGCACGAAAGCGUGGGGAGCGAACAGG